RNAcentral lists this ribosomal RNA (772 nucleotides) under uncultured Neocallimastigales. Its description in RNAcentral is "partial large subunit ribosomal RNA". It matches the Rfam family "Eukaryotic large subunit ribosomal RNA", at positions 24 to 643 of the family's 3401-position model. The record is from RNAcentral. Lineage: Eukaryota; Fungi; Neocallimastigomycota; Neocallimastigomycetes; Neocallimastigales.
UACGACUACAUAUCAGGCAUAUCAAUAAGCGGAGGAAAAGAAACUAACAAGGAUUCCCCUAGUAACGGCGAGUGAAGCGGGAAGAGCUCAAAUUUGAAAUCUUCAAGGUUCUACCUUGACGAAUUGUAGUUUAAAGAAGUGUUUUCGGUUAGAGGAGUAGUAAAAGUUCUUUGGAAUAGGACAUCAUAGAGGGUGAGAAUCCCGUAUUUGACUAUUCUUUCUAGCUUUGUGAUACACUUUCAAAGAGUCGGAUUGUUUGGGAAUGCAGUCCAAAAUGGGUGGUAAAUUUCAUCUAAAGCUAAAUAUUGGCGAGAGACCGAUAGCGAACAAGUACCGUGAGGGAAAGAUGAAAAGAACUUUGAAAAGAGAGUUAAACAGUACGUGAAAUUGUCAAAAGGGAAGCGUUUGACACCAGUGUUGUUUCUACGAAAAUCAAUUUAUGAUGGCUUGAUGCUAAGCUUUAAGACUUUAUCCGCUUGUUGUUUAGCUUUCUUGUCUUUGUGAAUGCACUUUUCGUGGAACAAGUCAACAUCAAUUUCUUUUGCUGUAAAAGGGUAAGAGGAAGGUGGCUUCGGCUUCGGUUGAAGUGUUUAUAGCCUUUUAUCUCUGCAGUCGGAGAGAUUGAGGUCUGCAGCGUAGACUCUUCGGGGUUAGAUACGUCGGUGCUAAGCUAUAGCUUUUCAUAGACAACUUGUUGACUAUGUUUAGUCAUGUGGCUUACCCGCUGGCGCUAUUUUACCUACGCUUAGGAUGUUGACUGAUAUGUAGUCGU